This 1329-nucleotide long non-coding RNA is filed under the name Hordeum vulgare. Its description in RNAcentral is "long non-coding RNA (HVUL_LNC000596)". Lineage: Eukaryota; Viridiplantae; Streptophyta; Magnoliopsida; Poales; Poaceae. The record is from RNAcentral.
AUCUGGUCCUCACAAGGCCAGGGAAUGCCUGCCUCUGAUCCUCAUCCUGAGGAACAGACUGAAAUAUGCUCUCACGUACCGUGAAGUGCAAUCUAUCCUUAUGCAGCGUCAUAUUAUGGUUGAUGGAAAGGUCCGCACUGACAAGACCUACCCUGCUGGUUUCAUGGGUAUGCUCUAAUCUUCUAGUACUAAAAUGUGUUUGCAUCUUUAUCUGAGUUGACAUUGUGCAUAUAUUCUUGAACAUCAUUUGUUUGCUGAUACAUACUUUCAUAUUGUCUACCAGACAUUAUUUCUAUUCCCAAGACUGGUGAGAACUACAGGCUUCUGUAUGACACCAAGGGCCGCUUCCGCCUUCACUCUGUCAGGGAUGAGGAUGCUAAGGUUAGCCCUAUCCUUAUCCAUUAUCCUGCUGUUCUUCCAUUAUGCUGAUUCCUUCGGUUUCUAGAACUGCUUAUAUAUUGCAUAUGGGCAAGCAUUGAUAUCCUCUUGCAAUACAUACCUUGCUGUUUCUCAUGUCACUUGCCUGGCAUUGUACUACUGUUGUAUUUUUGCUGUUCUAUUUGUUCACCAUGUUUAUCUGUCUCAAUCCUGUUAUCCAUUUUCUGAAGAUGCCAUUUUGUUUUCUGAUCCUGCCUAGAUAGAUUCUAGUUUGUCAUCUGUUUUAUCCUGUAAUGUAUAUAUUCCAUUAGCUAUCUUUCUCCUGACUUAGUUUCCUCCAUGUGCAGUUCAAGCUCUGCAAGGUCAGGUCUGUCCAGUUCGGCCAGAAGGGCAUCCCAUACCUGAACACCUAUGAUGGCCGCACCAUCCGCUACCCAGACCCACUCAUCAAGGCCAACGACACCAUCAAGCUCGACCUGGAGACCAACAAGAUUGUUGACUUCAUCAAGUUUGACGUCGGCAACGUCGUCAUGGUGACUGGUGGGCGCAACACUGGGCGUGUUGGUGUGAUCAAGAACAGGGAGAAGCAUAAGGGAACCUUUGAGACCAUCCACGUUGAGGAUGCCCAGGGUCACCAGUUUGCCACCCGUCUGGGCAACGUGUUCACCAUUGGCAAGGGCACCAAGCCUUGGGUGAGCCUCCCCAAGGGCAAGGGUAUCAAGCUCACCAUCAUUGAGGAGCAGAGGAAGAGGGAUGCCGCAGCUCAGGCUGCUGCCAAGGCCUGAUUCUGAGGCGUUGAGUCGUUUUGCUAUAGCCAGUUAUCUGCAAGGAUAUAGAACUAUGUUCCUGGAACCAUCUUUUUUAAGUUUUGCCUGAUGUUUGUUGAUUUGCGAACCCAUGGAUGCUGCUAGAUGUAAUGUGGAUGUUUACCUUAUUAAGUGCUAUUUCGAG